ACGGGAGGCAGCAGUGGGGAAUUUUGCGCAAUGGGGGGAACCCUGACGCAGCAACGCCGCGUGCGGGAUGGAGGCCUUCGGGCUGUAAACCGCUUUCAGCAGGGAAGACAACGACGGUACCUGCAGAAGAAGCUCCGGCUAACUACGUGCCGGCAGCCGCGGUAAUACGUAGGGGGCGAGCGUUAUCCGGAUUCAUUGGGCGUAAAGCGCGCGUAGGAGGCUGCCUAAGCGGAGUUUCUAACCUUGGGGCUCAACCUCAAGCCGGACUGCGAACUGGGCGGCUCGAGUGCGGUAGGGGCAGGCGGAAUUCCACGUGUAGCGGUGAAAUGCGCAGAUAUGUGGAGGAACACCGAUGGCGAAGGCAGCCUGCUGGGCCGUCACUGACGCUGAGGCGCGAAGGUGUGGGGAGCAAACAGGAUUAGAUACCCUGGUA
Molecule: ribosomal RNA, 433 nt
Filed under: uncultured Adlercreutzia sp.
Lineage: Bacteria; Bacillati; Actinomycetota; Coriobacteriia; Eggerthellales; Eggerthellaceae
Description: partial 16S ribosomal RNA
Rfam family: Bacterial small subunit ribosomal RNA
Source: RNAcentral